Molecule: long non-coding RNA, 1910 nt
Filed under: Homo sapiens (human)
Lineage: Eukaryota; Metazoa; Chordata; Mammalia; Primates; Hominidae
Description: HSALNT0388830
Source: RNAcentral
GUGACUCGUCAGAUGCUCCCCAGAGCCCAGCACAGACCCGGCUCCACCCACUUCUGUGGGUUGGCCAGAUGAGUGAGAAACACAGGCACAGCCAACGAGAGGGAGCUGAGGCCGGACCCAGGAGUCUUUUUCCUAUGGUCCUGCCUGAUAUAGUAACCGGGAAAGGGAUGAAUGUGAUGCAAUGUGCUCUUGUAAUGGAGCAUCACAGAACAGGUCAAAGACACAAGCCACACAGCAACGAGCGCGGACAGGCAGGGCAGAGCACAGCUGCACGGCCUGUAUGUCCAGUGCUCAGAUCUUAAGCAUCUGCUGCAAGCGUGGGUGACCCCCAUCGUGGAACAAGCCCACUCUCUGGCAACAGCAAUGUGAACCUUCUGCUUGUAAUGUAAAUGUGAAACCCAGGGCCAGUAAGAGAUUCCUCAGAUUUGCUGUGCAGCCAUGGAAGGCAGGUUUUUCAAACAGAAACUCUUCUUCCUAAAAAUAUUCGAUGUUCAAAUCUUUUCUCUGCAAAAAAGACGGAGGAGGAAGAAGUGAAGUUGCUGUGCGUGAGCCCACCUGGAGGGCAGCAGCCCAGGAAGGGCCAAGGGACUGACAGCGACAGCUCAAGCAUUGCAGCACCUGGGCCUCCUGCUCUCCCAAGCCAGCAGGAUUUUCACUGACUCCCAGAUGGCAGAGCCAAGCCAGUGAGAGACAGAUGUUGGCUCAAGUGGUUUUGAGAGCUGAUGAGUUCCCUGUCCCUGGAAGUGUGCAAGUAGAGACUAAAGGACCACUCCUGAGAAAUAUUGUGAGACAAGCAGGGGUUGGGACUGGAAGGAUGGCCCUUGGAGGACCUCAGAGACCCAGGCCUCUUGUGUCUGUGUCCUUUUGGAACUCUUGGUCUUCGCCGAGGGAGGGAUGCCCUCCAGGCUGCCUGGGACCACAUAAGGUCUUGGGAGACAGGAGCAGCAGUAGCAGCUUCGUGUAUGAAGGUGCUCCCAGUGCUGGGCACUGUAGGGAGGGCUAUCCUACCACAUCCUCUCAGCGAAGGGCUUUUGUAGAGUAUGGUUAAGAAUGCAGAUCUGCAGUGGGUCACGCCUGCAAUCCCAGCACUUGGGGAGGCUGAGACAGGAGGAUGGCUUGAGCCCGGGAGUUCGAGGCUGCCUACCCCCUGCACCCCAGCCUGAAUGACAGAGCGAAGAGAAAUCCUGUUGUCUCUUUAUUUGAAAAAAAUUUUUAAGUAGGUUCUGGAGCCGGAAUGUUGCAGAGAACCAGGCGCCGGCGCCUCCCAAUGGUCACCAGCAGGUGGCGCCGCUGACCUAGGUGCUGGGCCCCUCGGCACCCCUCGUUCUGGGUGGCGCUGGGAGGAGCCAGUUUGGGCGGAGAGGAGCCCUGGGCCGCCUACCCUGGACUGAAGUCAGGUGUUGAGCACGGGUGGACCCGGCUUCUUUACCUUCCUGAGGCCUUGGUCGAGGGGCUGGCUGCCCGCCCUGUGCAGAGGACUUUGUCCCUGGGGUGGGUGGGUGCAAUAAAUGUCAGGGCUCUGACCCAGGGACAGAGGGGCACAGAGGGUAAAGGGUCCCUCACUCUCCCCUGGCAGCGGCCGCUUGUCACAGUCUAGGAAAAUAUCCAGAGACUGUGCCGGGUGGGGGGUUUUGCAAACCAGUCCAGUGGGUCGAAACCAGUCCAGCCGCCCCACUGAACAGAUUCUGCAGUGGGUCACACCUGCAAUCCCAGCGCUUGGAGAGGCUGAGGCAGGAGGAUGGCUUGAGCCCAGGAGUUCGAGGCUGCCUGCCCCCUGCACCCCAGCCUGAAUGACAGAGCCAAGCAAGACCCUGUUGUCUCUUUAUUUAAAAAAAAAAAAAAAAUUAUUUUUUGUUUGAGACAGAUUCUCGCUCUGUUGCCCAGGCUGGAGUACAGUGGCGCGAUCUCGG